Molecule: RNA transcript, 663 nt
Organism: Saccostrea cuccullata (small rock oyster)
Lineage: Eukaryota; Metazoa; Mollusca; Bivalvia; Ostreida; Ostreidae
Gene name: tyrosine-protein kinase HCK-like
Exons: 2
Source: RefSeq, a predicted model, not a curated record
CUUAACUGGAGGACAUGGGUUAAAGAAACCCCGACAAUGUCCAGAGGCCGUGUAAGUAUUUAACUGGAGGACAUCGGUUAAAGAAACCCCGACAAUGUCCAGAGGCCGUGUAAGUAUUUAACUGGAGGACAUCGGUUAAAGAAACCCCGACAGUGUCCAGAGGCCGUUUAUCUGCUGAUGUUGAAGUGCUGGACGGACGUUCCUUCAGAUCGACCCACAUUCCCGGAGAUCGGCGAGGAAAUCAAACAAUUCACGUCGGCUGAGGAGUCCAGUGAUGCGUCCCAACCAUUACAGACCAAAAUAGAACCCGGGGGGUCACAGGAGUACCUGGGGGUGAUGGGCUGAAGACAUUGGGGUGAUAUGUUGAUGUGAGGCUGGUUUAGGACAGGGAUCCAAGUGUUCAGUUGGUGGAGAUGAUAUUUUGUCUGGCUACGUCAACGAGAAGUCACACAUUCAUGUUUAGGACCUUCUACAACCAAUUUGAAUGGACCUAAUGUUAAAAAAAAACACUGUGAAGUGGAAGGCUUAUAACAAUCUGUUAUUUUAAGAUUUGCUUCUUUUUAGCUUGCUUUGACAAAACAAAUCUUGAAAAGAUUUUGGAGGUCUGUUUUUAGAAGAUACUUUUGUACUUUAUAUCAAUAAUAUAAACAAACCCAGGUUGAA